RNAcentral lists this long non-coding RNA (1138 nucleotides) under Zonotrichia albicollis (white-throated sparrow). RNAcentral describes it as "lncRNA (ENSZALG00000000636.1)". The record is from RNAcentral. Lineage: Eukaryota; Metazoa; Chordata; Aves; Passeriformes; Passerellidae.
GGAGGAGUUUUCCUGAGAAUUCCUCUCAGCAGGAAUGGGGACGAGGCAAAUCCAGAGCUGGUCCAGGAUCCUCCUGUCAGAUUUGUUCAUUUCUGAGUGAGAUCCGUGCCCCUGAAAGUGAAGAUCUGUUCUUCUCUGAGUGAGAUCUGUUCAUUUCUGAGUGAGUGAGAUUUGUUCAUUUCUGAGUGAGAUUUGUUCAUUUCUGAAUGAAUGAGAUUUGUUCAUUUCUGAAUGAGAUUUGUUCAUUUCUAAGUGAGAUUUGUUAAUUUCUGAGUGAGAUCCGUGCCCCUGAGAGUGAAGAUCUGUUCUUCUCUGAGUGAAUGAGAUUUGUUCAUUUCUGAAUGAGAUUUGUUCAUUUGUAAGUGAGAUUUGUUCAUUUCUGAGUGAGAUCCAUGCCCCUGAGAGUGAAGAUCUGUUCUUCUCUGAGUGAAGGGAUCUGUUCUUCUCCAAGUGAGAUUUGUUCAUUUCUGAGUGAGAUUUGUUCAUUUCUGAGUGAAUGAGAUUUGUUCAUUUCUGAGUGACAUUUGUUCAUUUCUGAGUGAGAUUUGUACAUUUCUGAGUCAAUGAGAUAUGUUCAUUUCUGAGUGAGUUUUGUUCAUUUCUGAGUGAAUGAGAUUUGUUCAUUUCUGAGUGAGUUUUGUUCAUUUCUGAGUGAAUGAGAUUUGUUCAUUUCUGAGCAAGAUCCAUGCCCCUGAGAGUGAAGAUCUGUUCUUCUCUGAGUGAAGGGAUCUGUUCUUCUCCAAGUGAGAUUUGUUCAUUUCUGAGUGAGGGGAUCUGUGCCCCUGAGUGAGAUCUGCUCCUUCUGAGGGGAUUUGUGCCCCUCAUGUGAGGGGCGCUGUUCAUUUCUGUGAGGGAUCUGUUCAUUUCUGUGAGGGGAUCUGUUCAUUUCUCAGUGAGGGAUCUGUUCAUUUCUGUGAGGGAUCUGUUCAUUUCUCAGUGAGGGAUCUGUUCAUUUCUCAGUGAGGGAUNCUGUGAGGGAUCUGUUCAUUUCUCAGUGAGGGAUCUGUUCAUUUCUCAGUGAGGGAUCUGUUCAUUUCUGUGAGGGAUCUGUUCAUUUCUCAGUGGGGGAUCUGUUCAUUUCUGUGAGGGAUCUGUUCAUUUCUGUGAGGGGCUCUGUUCAUUUCUGUGAGGGCUCUGU